Molecule: small RNA, 33 nt
Filed under: Bombyx mori (domestic silkworm)
Lineage: Eukaryota; Metazoa; Arthropoda; Insecta; Lepidoptera; Bombycidae
Description: ovarian small RNA-15028
Source: RNAcentral
GAAAAAGGCUGAAAUAGGCGAUCUCAAGAAUUC